This is a long non-coding RNA of Hemicordylus capensis (graceful crag lizard), 495 nucleotides long. RefSeq lists it as uncharacterized. The transcript is spliced from 2 exons. Lineage: Eukaryota; Metazoa; Chordata; Lepidosauria; Squamata; Cordylidae. The record is from RefSeq and is a predicted model, not a curated record.
CCGAAUUCGAGUAGACUGGCAAGCCCCAGGAAGAAGGCUGGCAGUCAGAGUGGCCACUACAGCUCUCUGCAGCAGACCCUCUUCCCAGGCUAGACAGCUCAGCCUUUGCCAGAUGAACCAACAAGGUGGAUAUCCUGCAUUUCAAAACAUUUCUGAUUGACAUCCUCGCUAAAGGAUUUGAUGCACGUCAGGAGAAUAUGCAUGCCAGGAGAAUAUCUCUCCCAUAUGUAGAGAGCUCGCUUAGCUGCGCAGGAUGGAGGGUGGGGGAUGUAGCCCUUAAGGGCAUAUUUUUGUGUUACACGGGGCACUUCCAGGGCAAGGAGAGAUCAGAGAAAAUUGUCCCCAAAUCCUCUGCACUCUGGAAGCUCCCCAUAGUGCAGAUAUGUCUUCUUCACUAAGAAACUGAAGCACGUCAGACUCCUUAGAGAAGAUCUCAGCCACUGUUCCAAAGAAUACACUGUACACCCUUUUAAAAUAAAUCUGCCAUGUCUGUCA